GAACUUCUGAGGAGUCCCACAAUGGGACGAAACGAUCGUCCAAUGC
RNAcentral lists this non-coding RNA (46 nucleotides) under Schistosoma mattheei. The record is from RNAcentral. Lineage: Eukaryota; Metazoa; Platyhelminthes; Trematoda; Strigeidida; Schistosomatidae.